CUAUGGUUCUUUGGAUGGUACACACAGUUACUUGGAUAACUGUGGUAAUUCUAGAGCUAAUACAUGCACAUUGGAACUCUACCUCAUUUACUGGAGUAGGUGCUUUUAUUAGAUCAAAACCAAUCAGGCUUAACGGCCUGUUUGUCUUGGUGACUCUGAAUAACUUUCCGCUGAUCGCAUGGUCUUGUACCGGCGACGCAUCUUUCAAAUGUCUGACUUAUCAACUUUCGAUGGUAGGCUCUGCGCCUACUAUGGUUGUAACGGGUAACGGGGAAUCAGGGUUCGAUUCCGGAGAGGGAGCCUGAGAAACGGCUACCACAUCCAAGGAAGGCAGCAGGCGCGCAAAUUACCCACUCCCAGAUCGGGGAGGUAGUGACGAAAAAUAACGAUGCAGAACUCAUUCCGAGGCUCUGCAAUCGGAAUGAGUACACUCUAAAUCAUUUAACGAGUAUCCAUUGGAGGAAAAGUCUGGUGCCAGCACCCGCGGUAAUUCCAGCUCCAAUAGCGUAUAUUAAAGUUGUUGCGGUUAAAAAGCUCGUAGUUGGAUCUGUGUUCCACGCUGUCGGUUCACUGUUUUGACGGUGUUUAACUGACAUGCUCGUGGUACGUCCUGCCGGUUGGCGAUGAGGGCGCGAUCGUCGGCUCCGCCGUAUGGUCGUUGCUUGCGUCUGCCAGUUCCAAUCCUGUCGCGGUGCUCUUCACCGAGUGUCGAGGCGGGCCGGCAACGUUUACCUUGAACAAAUUUGAGUGCUUAAAGCAGGCUAUAAUCGCCGGAAAACUGUGUGCAUGGAAUAAUAUAAUAGGACCGCGGUUCUAUUUUGUUGGUUUUCAGAGUCAGAGGUAAUGAUUAAUAGGGACAGGCGGGGGCAUUAGUAUUGCGACGUUAGAGGUGAUAUUCUUGGAUCGUCGCAAGACUAACCUAAGCGAAAGCAUUUGCCAAGGAUGCUUCCAUUAAUCAAGAACGAAAGUUAGAGGUUCGAAGGCGAUCAGAUACCGCCCUAGUUCUAACCAUAAACGAUGCCAGCCAGCGAUCCGUCGACGUUCCUCCGAUGACUCGACGGGCAGCUUCCGGGAAACUAAAGCAUUUGGGUUCCGGGGGAAGUAUGGUUGCAAAGCUGAAACUUAAAGGAAUUGACGGAAAGGCACCACCAGGAGUGGAGCCUGCGGCUUAAUUUGACUCAACACGGGAAAUCUCACCAGGCCAGAACACCAGUUGGAUUGACAGAUUGAGAGCUCUUUCUUGAUUUGGUGGGUGGUGGUGCAUGGCCGUUCUUAGUUG
RNAcentral lists this ribosomal RNA (1279 nucleotides) under Neurostigma sp. KY471. RNAcentral describes it as "SSU rRNA". It matches the Rfam family "Eukaryotic small subunit ribosomal RNA", at positions 110 to 1300 of the family's 1831-position model. The record is from RNAcentral. Lineage: Eukaryota; Metazoa; Arthropoda; Insecta; Psocodea; Neurostigmatidae.